UGUCUAGUGGCAGGGGGUUGGAAUCGGAUGAGCUUUAAGGUCCUUUCCCACCCAAACCCUUCUAGGAUUCUGCAAUUCUAUAUGACUCUAUGAACAG
Molecule: long non-coding RNA, 97 nt
Organism: Strigops habroptila (Kakapo)
Lineage: Eukaryota; Metazoa; Chordata; Aves; Psittaciformes; Psittacidae
Exons: 3
Source: RefSeq, a predicted model, not a curated record